CCCCUAGCGCCGAUGGUACUGCGUCUUAAGGCGUGGGAGAGUAGGUCGCUGCCCGGU
RNAcentral lists this ribosomal RNA (57 nucleotides) under Maricaulis maris. The record is from RNAcentral. Lineage: Bacteria; Pseudomonadati; Pseudomonadota; Alphaproteobacteria; Maricaulales; Maricaulaceae.